Molecule: ribosomal RNA, 467 nt
Filed under: uncultured bacterium
Lineage: Bacteria
Description: partial 16S ribosomal RNA
Rfam family: Bacterial small subunit ribosomal RNA
Source: RNAcentral
GACGAACGCUGGCGGCGUGCUUAACACAUGCAAGUCGAACGGAAAGGCCCUGCUUUUGUGGGGUGCUCGAGUGGCGAACGGGUGAGUAACACGUGAGUAACCUGCCCUUGACUUUGGGAUAACUUCAGGAAACUGGGGCUAAUACCGGAUAGGAGCUCCUGCUGCAUGGUGGGGGUUGGAAAGUUUCGGCGGUUGGGGAUGGACUCGCGGCUUAUCAGCUUGUUGGUGGGGUAGUGGCUUACCAAGGCUUUGACGGGUAGCCGGCCUGAGAGGGUGACCGGCCACAUGGGGACUGAGAUACGGCCCAGACUCCUACGGGAGGCAGCAGUGGGGAAUAUGGCACAAUGGGCGGAAGCCUGAUGCAGCAACGCCGCGUGCGGGAGGACGGCCUUCGGGUUGUAAACCGCUUUCGCCUGUGACGAAGCGUGGGUGACGGGAAUGGGUAAAGAAGCACCGGCGAACUACGG